RNAcentral lists this transfer RNA (67 nucleotides) under Artemia urmiana. Its description in RNAcentral is "tRNA-Leu". The record is from RNAcentral. Lineage: Eukaryota; Metazoa; Arthropoda; Branchiopoda; Anostraca; Artemiidae.
UUUUAAAGUGGCAGAAACGAAUAUGCGUUGGAUUUAAGCUCCAAAGAUGGGGAGACCCCUUUAAAAA